CCCCCUUUUUAUUUCUUUGUUCUCUAUUCACUUUUUAUUUCCCUUUUUAUUAUUCAAGUAUUCUCAAUUUAAAUUGUGUGGUUGAACCCGGAUCCAGGCCUCUUGGCCCUCAUCAAAACUUCGCUUUGUUAACGGAAAAAUCCGAGAGCUCCCUUGGACAAAAACAAAGACACCAACCAGGAUAACUUGGAGCAAAACAGCAGCCUGUAGGCUUGGCCUUUAUUGAACUGUUGCAACAGGGUGCUCCCCUCACUUGCAGGAGAGAGAAAGGACACAGAAAAAUGGUGUGCAAGGCCUUAUAAAGACUUUUGACAUUCCCACCCUGUAGGUCAAGCCCACCCCCAGAAACAUCACGCAUACAUCACAGAAAGGAGGGGUUGAGGGAGGAGUUGUGGUGGUAACCUGAGUGUCCUGUCACCUGGCUGGUUCCCCCUUUCCCCCUCCCCAUGAGUACUUUCCAGAUGACGGAGGGGAGUUGGCAGUUUCCUGCCCCCAGAGGGAAGAUCUGAUCAUUGUCCUUUGUUUCAGUCCAUGCUGAAUCCACUCCCACAUGCAAGUUCUUUGUGAUCUUGAUGGUCUUCUGUCUGGGACCAUCAGGGUUGGCAUAGCAACUGGGCAGGGCUCCUGUGGAUGUGCUGGGAUGGUGAAGGGAUUAUGGCUGACCAGUAUCAAACCUUCCCCAUUUUGUAGUCCUUCCUUCAUGGAGUAAAAUAAAAGUGGAACAGUGCAGAUCCGAUGUAUGGUGGAUUUUCUAUGAAUUUAUAACAGAAGCCUAGCGUAUGUCGUGUGUGAGUGUGUGAGUGUGUGUGUGGGUGAGUGUGUGUGAAGUUUGUGCAAACUGAAUGAUGGGGGGGGGUUUCCUGCGACAAGGGAGAGAGAGACCCGCCCCCCCCGCCGUUUCUGGGAGAGCCCUCCUUUCCUUUCCUUUCCCUUCCGCUCCCCUCCCAAGAGGCUCCCCCUUGUGUCUCUCUGUGUCUCUGAGGGACGAGAGAGGAGGCGCCCCUCCCCCCGCCGCUUCUUCCCCUCAACGACGUUUCCCGCCUUUUCCCAACUGCCUCGCCUCCGUUUUGGCGCCAAGGAUUCCGGGCAGACCAGGCGGCGCUUUCCCGGGGCUUGAGGGGCGGAUUUCUCUUCAGGCCUCUCGCUUUGCAAGCUCCUCUCUCUUUGGAAAGGCGGGAUGAAAACUCCCUUCGCCUCUGCCUGCAUCCCUCGCAGGACUGAAAAGUCCGAUUUCUUUCCAUUUGCUACGUCUAAUGUCCGCUUUGGGUCUAGUUUGCCGCUGGCAUAAAGUACCUCUUUUUUCAGCUGAUCUGAAGGUCUAAAUCAUUGGCCCAAAGCUGCUUUAUUGGUUAACCAUUUUCCAUGGGUCCUUUGUACGUGGGUCUCCUGAAAGCUUAUUACAGUAAAUCUCAUUUUGGCCUCCCCCCAAGAUCGCGAGUGCGAUUCAUUCCUUGCCUGGGACACUUCUUCAUCUCCCUAUUUUCCUGGUGGGGGAAAGGUGAUUUUCGGGGGGGGAGGGGUCUCCUGACUGGGAAGCCCCCCCUCCCCCCCGCUGAGCUGGAGGGUGUCCCUUGGGGGGGUGUCUUGAGGGAGCCAUUGCUGAGCCCAAGGCACCUCCCGCCACUAGGCAGCCCUUCGCUUCUCCUCCCUCCCAGGAGAUAAGGGGGGAGGGAAGGGGGGCAGCCCCUAGAGCGCAGGCGCAGAAGCAGGAAAACUGAAGGCAGGGAGAGGGAGGGGAGGACUCGGGGCGCUCGGCUUGUCAAGGGUUAAAAGGAGCAGAGCGGGAUUCCUAGAGAGGACAGGAAGUGAAGGGGGUGAAGGUCCUCCAUGGGUAAAUUCCCCCCUCCCCCUCCCUUCCUGCUUUCUUCUCUCUCCAUUGCAAAAGCCCCUCCUGGACUCGGGUGAGUCUCCUCUCUCUUCCCCCUGAGGGUGCAAUGGGGAGAAGGGGGUCCCAGGGGGGCAGGGAGGGGGCGUGGGGGGUCCCUGCUCAGAUCAUGCAUGAUGGGGGGAGACCCCCAAGUCAGGGAGCAGAGGGUCCUCCCUUGUCCUCUCUGCCAAGCCAGGGAGGGGCCAAGUCGCAGGAAAUAUGCAGCUCUGCUCUUCCUUGGGAUCCAGAUGCUGCCUUCCUUUUGGGGGGAGGGGGCUUUGAGUCAAGAAAAUAAACCCCCUUCAGAUGGAGGGAAAAGUCACAUUUAAGAACAGAGGCUGCAGCCAGACGGGAACAUUCCCACGUGGGGGGAGCGCAGGGAGAAGAAAAGCCCGUCUGCAUCUGCAGCACCACUGCAUCUCCAGACCACUUCCUGUGUCCCAGAUGCAACAAAACAUGUCUCUCCCCCAGAUCUCACUCCCAAAGAAAACACUCUUCCAUUGUCUCCUAAGACAGGUGGAAGCCAACCAGCCAACCAUUCCCUCCCCUCACAAUGCACAAUGGGGCUUCCCCUCCCCUGACGUACCACUUUAGAUAAUGGGGCCUCCACUACCACCGCCGUGCGAUUUCUGUUCUUAUCCUGAAGCAAAGUUCUUAACCCGAGGUACUAUUUCUGAGUUAGCGGAGUCUGUAACCUGAAGCGUCUGUAAACCAAAGUACCACUCUACCCAUCAUUUAAAUACACAACAAAAUUGUUACAGAAAAGAACAGAGCAAUGUUUAGAAAAAUAUCAUCUUUCUUCUCCCUUUUUCUCUUAGGGUCCAGUGUGCCUUGAAGACGUAGCUGUUCCUUUCACAGAGGAGGACUGGGCUUUGCUGGAUCCUGACCAGAGAGCUCUGCAGAAGGAAGUCAAGGAGGAGAAUCCUGGGAUCGUGGCCUCUCUGGUAAGGCUCCCUGCUGGAUCAUAAGAUCAGUUUUGAAAUUCCAUACAGAUCUCUGAAGGACAAGCCUCCUCUAUUUUGAGGGAGCCCCAUAGCGCCACCUACAGCAUCUGAGAUGUUAACACACCCACAACUCUCCUGGAAUGGAAAACUCAAUAGGAGAUGUAUCUCCUGUUCUGUCUGGGAAUAUUCUUCCACCAGUCCUGCCUUUUCCAACCGUGAGGAGGCUGGUCUGAGCUGCCCAGGCCUUCUUCAAUGUAGGCUUCAGAGAUCUUAGGGA
This 3088-nucleotide long non-coding RNA is filed under the name Podarcis lilfordi (Lilford's wall lizard). Lineage: Eukaryota; Metazoa; Chordata; Lepidosauria; Squamata; Lacertidae. The record is from RNAcentral.